This 1352-nucleotide ribosomal RNA is filed under the name Capronia sp. WUC 236. Its description in RNAcentral is "LSU rRNA". It matches the Rfam family "Eukaryotic large subunit ribosomal RNA", at positions 40 to 1409 of the family's 3401-position model. The record is from RNAcentral. Lineage: Eukaryota; Fungi; Ascomycota; Eurotiomycetes; Chaetothyriales; Herpotrichiellaceae.
AUAUCAAUAAGCGGAGGAAAAGAAACCAACAGGGAUUGCCUCAGUAACGGCGAGUGAAGCGGCAACAGCUCAAAUUUGAAAUCUGGCCUCUUUGGGGUCCGAGUUGUAAUUUGUAGAGGAUGUUUCGGGUACCGCCCCGGUCUAAAUUUCUUGGAACAGAAUGUCAAAGAGGGUGAGAAUCCCGUCUUGGACCGGUGGUAGGGCCCAUGUGAAGCUCCUUCGACGAGUCGAGUUGUUUGGGAAUGCAGCUCAAAAUGGGUGGUAAAUUUCAUCUAAAGCUAAAUAUUGGCCAGAGACCGAUAGCGCACAAGUAGAGUGAUCGAAAGAUGAAAAGCACUUUGAAAAGAGAGUUAAACAGUAUGUGAAAUUGUUGAAAGGGAAGCGCUGGCAACCAGACUUGCGCGCGGCGGUUCCCCCUUCCUUUUGGUUGGGUUACUCCGCCGUGUCCAGGCCAACAUCGGUUCUGGGGGUCGGUCAAAGGCCUUGGGAAUGUAUCUACCCUUCGGGCGUAGACUUAUAGCCCAGGGUGUCAUGCGGCCUCCCGGGACCGAGGAACGCGCUUCGGCUCGGAUGUUGGCGUAAUGGUUGUCAGCGACCCGUCUUGAAACACGGACCAAGGAGUCUAACAUCUAUGCGAGUGUUUGGGUGUCAAACCCGGAACGCGAAAUGAAAGUGAACGGAGGUAGGAAGCUUAGGCUGCACUAUCGACCGAUCCUGAUGUCUUCGGAUGGAUUUGAGUAAGAGCAUAGCUGUUGGGACCCGAAAGAUGGUGAACUAUGCCUGAAUAGGGUGAAGCCAGAGGAAACUCUGGUGGAGGCUCGCAGCGGUUCUGACGUGCAAAUCGAUCGUCAAAUUUAGGUAUAGGGGCGAAAGACUAAUCGAACCAUCUGGUAGCUGGUUCCUGCCGAAGUUUCCCUCAGGAUAGCAGUAACGUUUUCAGUUUUAUGAGGUAAAGCGAAUGAUUAGAGGCCUUGGGGUUGAAACAACCUUAACCUAUUCUCAAACUUUAAAUAUGUAAGAAGUCCUUGUUGCUUAAUUGAACGUGGACAUUUGAAUGUAUCGUUACUAGUGGGCCAUUUUUGGUAAGCAGAACUGGCGAUGCGGGAUGAACCGAACGUGAGGUUAAGGUGCCGGAAUGUACGCUCAUCAGACACCACAAAAGGUGUCAAUGCAUCCAGACAGCCGGACGGUGGCCAUGGAAGUCGGAAUCCGCUUAGGAGUGUGUAACAACUCACCGGCCGAAUGCAUUGGCCCUGAAAAUGGAUGGCGCUUAAGCGUGCUACCUAUACCUCGCCGUCAGGGUUGACAUGAUGCCCUGACGAGUAGGCAGGCGUGGAGGUCCGUGACGAAGC